UACGAAGGGGGCUAGCGUUGUUCGGAAUUACUGGGCGUAAAGCGCGCGCAGGCGGCUAUCCAAGUCAGUGGUGAAAGCCCGGAGCUCAACUCCGGAACUGCCAUUGAAACUGUUUAGCUUGAGGAUGAGAGAGGUGAGUGGAAUUCCCAGUGUAGAGGUGAAAUUCGUAGAUAUUGGGAAGAACACCGGUGGCGAAGGCGGCUCACUGGCUCAGUUACUGACGCUCAGGCGCGAUAGCGUGGGGAUCAAACAGG
This 254-nucleotide ribosomal RNA is filed under the name uncultured bacterium. RNAcentral's name for it is "partial 16S ribosomal RNA". It matches the Rfam family "Bacterial small subunit ribosomal RNA", at positions 524 to 776 of the family's 1533-position model. The record is from RNAcentral.